GUGUCAGCAGCCGCGGUAAUACGAAGGGGGCUAGCGUUGUUCGGAAUCACUGGGCGUAAAGCGCACGUAGGCGGAUCUUUAAGUCAGAGGUGAAAGCCUGGAGCUCAACUCCAGAACUGCCUUUGAUACUGGGGAUCUCGAGUCCGGGAGAGGUGAGUGGAACUGCGAGUGUAGAGGUGAAAUUCGUAGAUAUUCGCAAGAACACCAGUGGCGAAGGCGGCUCACUGGCCCGGAACUGACGCUGAGGUGCGAAAGCGUGGGGAGCAAACAGGAUUAGAUACCCCGGUAGUCC
Molecule: ribosomal RNA, 292 nt
Filed under: uncultured bacterium
Lineage: Bacteria
Description: partial 16S ribosomal RNA
Rfam family: Bacterial small subunit ribosomal RNA
Source: RNAcentral